CGGUUUCUUAAGUCUGAUGUGAAAUCCCCCGGCUCAACCUGGGAGGUGUCAUUGGAAACUGGCGAGCUUGAGUGCUGAAGAGGAGAGUGGAAUUCCACGUGUAGCGGUGAAAUGCGUAGAGAUGUGGAGGAACACCGGUGGCGAAGGCGACUCUCUGGACUGUAACUGACGCUCAGGAGCGAAAGCGUGGGGAGCGAACAGGAUUAGAUACCCUGGUAGUCCACGCCGUAAACGAUGACUGCUUGGAGGUUGGGGGCUUCAGGCCCGUAUUGCUGAGCCUAAGGCAUUAGUCAAUCGGCCGGGGAAGUACGGCCCCAAGACUGAACUUCAAUGGAUUUGACGGGGGCCCGCCCAACCGGGGAACCUGGUGGUUUAUUUCAUGCCACCGCGAAAAACCUUACUACGCCUGGACUUCCUCUGACUU
This 424-nucleotide ribosomal RNA is filed under the name Bacillus pumilus. Its description in RNAcentral is "bacterial SSU rRNA". It matches the Rfam family "Bacterial small subunit ribosomal RNA", at positions 576 to 997 of the family's 1533-position model. Lineage: Bacteria; Bacillati; Bacillota; Bacilli; Caryophanales; Bacillaceae. The record is from RNAcentral.